This is a long non-coding RNA of Erpetoichthys calabaricus (reedfish), 177 nucleotides long. RefSeq lists it as uncharacterized. The transcript is spliced from 2 exons. NCBI's taxonomy places the organism in Eukaryota, Metazoa, Chordata, Cladistia, Polypteriformes, Polypteridae. The record is from RefSeq and is a predicted model, not a curated record.
ACAAUGUGUUCAGCUGUCUCAUGAGAAGCAAAGCACCAAAGGCAGACUGGCACUCUGGACUUGGCAUCUACAGUUUCUCCCCAGGGGUCUCUGGCUGGUUGGUGGCUUUCUGCGUCUUGUUGGUUCUUUGCUUAGUGGUGACUCCCCUGCUGGUCAUUCAGUGGAGAAGAAUGAGAG